Anthonomus grandis grandis is the source of this 1249-nucleotide long non-coding RNA. RefSeq lists it as uncharacterized. The record is from RefSeq and is a predicted model, not a curated record. Lineage: Eukaryota; Metazoa; Arthropoda; Insecta; Coleoptera; Curculionidae. The transcript has 4 exons.
UUGCAGAUGAUGAGGAGGAGGGGGAGGGAGUGACUUUUUGACCUUGGAGGUCGUUUGUCAUGUUUCAAGGUCAUUUAUGGGUCACUUUUUUAUGGGUUCAUUCGGAGUGGAAAUUUCGUUUUGGAUAUUAACCUUGACAAGGUCAAAUACUGGUCUCCCUUAAAACCAAUUCACAAAUUUUCUCGGGGGUGUCUUGACCUUUUGGUACCCUUGUGUUUGACCUUGCAGUCCGGUCAAUUGAAGUUCAAGGUCAUUUUUUAGAGUGGAACCACUUUAAAAAAUUCAAAUCAAGAGCAAUUUACUUAAAACUUCUUGUGAUUAUAAAGAGAUCUAUUGUUAAUCGAUGAGAGAAGGUCGCAAGUUAAUUGGUCCAUUAUUUUUUAAGUUAUCAAUUUUUUUCCAAAAACAGUCCGGAAAUUAUUUUAAUUCAACUUUAAAAAUUCAUAAAAAAUUCAAAUCAAGAGCAAUUUACUUGAAACUUCUUGUGAUUAUAAAGAGAUCUAUUGGUUAUUAAUGAGAGAAGGUCGCAAGUUAAUUGGUCCAUUAUUUUUUAAGUUAUCAAUUUUUUUCCAAAAACAGUCCGGAAAUUAUUUUAAUUCAACUUUAAAAAUUCAUAAAAAAUUCAAAUCAAGAGCAAUUUACUUGAAACUUCUUGUGAUUAUAAAGAGAUCUAUUGGUUAUUAAUGAGAGAAGGUCGCAUGUUAAUUGGUCCAUUAUUUUUUAAGUUAUAAAUUUUUUUCUAAAAACAAUCCGGAAAUUAUUUUAAUUCAACUUUAAAAAUUCAUAAAAAAUUCAAAUCAAGAGCAAUUUACUUGAAACUUCUUGUGAUUAUAAAGAGAUCUAUUGGUUAUUAAUGAGAGAAGGUCGCAAGUUAAUUGGUCCAUUAUUUUUUAAGUUAUCAAUUUUUUUCCAAAAACAGUCCGGAAAUUAUUUUAAUUCAACUUUAAAAAUUCAUAAAAAAUUCAAAUCAAGAGCAAUUUACUUGAAACUUCUUGUGAUUAUAAAGAGAUCUAUUGGUUAUUAAUGAGAGAAGGUCGCAAGUUAAUUGGUCCAUUAUUUUUUAAGUUAUAAUUUUUUUUUUUAAAACAGUCCGGAAAUAAUUUUAAUUCAACUUUAAAAAUUCAUAAAAAAUUCAAAUCAAGAGCAAUUUACUUGAAACUUCUUGUGAUUAUAAAGAGAUCUAUUGGUUAUUAAUGAGAGAAGGUCGCAAGUUAAUUGGUCCAUUAUUUUUUAAGUUAUAUUUUUUUUU